RNAcentral lists this ribosomal RNA (556 nucleotides) under uncultured bacterium. RNAcentral describes it as "partial 16S ribosomal RNA". It matches the Rfam family "Bacterial small subunit ribosomal RNA", at positions 355 to 902 of the family's 1533-position model. The record is from RNAcentral.
UGGGGAAUUUUGGACAAUGGGGGAAACCCUGAUCCAGCCAUCCCGCGUGUGCGAUGAAGGCCUUCGGGUUGUAAAGCACUUUUGGCAGGAAAGAAACGUCGCGGGUUAAUACCCCGCGAAACUGACGGUACCUGCAGAAUAAGCACCGGCUAACUACGUGCCAGCAGCCGCGGUAAUACGUAGGGUGCAAGCGUUAAUCGGAAUUACUGGGCGUAAAGCGUGCGCAGGCGGUUCGGAAAGAAAGAUGUGAAAUCCCCAGAGCUUAACUUUGGAACUGCAUUUUUAACUACCGGGCUAGAGUGUGUCAGAGGGAGGUGGAAUUCCGCGUGUAGCAGUGAAAUGCGUAGAUAUGCGGAGGAACACCGAUGGCGAAGGCAGCCUCCUGGGGAUAACACUGACGCUCAUGCACGAAAGCGUGGGGAGCAAACAGGAUUAGAUACCCUGGUAGUCCACGCCCUAAACGAUGUCAACUAGCUGUUGGGGCCUUCGGGCCUUGGUAGCGCAGCUAACGCGUGAAGUUGACCGCCUGGGGAGUACGGUCGCAAGACUAAAACUU